Molecule: transfer RNA, 62 nt
Filed under: Klebsiella pneumoniae
Lineage: Bacteria; Pseudomonadati; Pseudomonadota; Gammaproteobacteria; Enterobacterales; Enterobacteriaceae
Description: tRNA-Asp
Rfam family: tRNA
About the family: Transfer RNA (tRNA) molecules are approximately 80 nucleotides in length.
Source: RNAcentral
GAGCGGUAGUUCAGUCGGUUAGAAUACCUGCCUGUCACGCAGGGGGUCGCGGGUUCGAGUCC